Molecule: ribosomal RNA, 465 nt
Filed under: Vreelandella stevensii
Lineage: Bacteria; Pseudomonadati; Pseudomonadota; Gammaproteobacteria; Oceanospirillales; Halomonadaceae
Description: partial 16S ribosomal RNA
Rfam family: Bacterial small subunit ribosomal RNA
Source: RNAcentral
CCUACGGGUGGCUGCAGUGGGGAAUAUUGGACAAUGGGGGCAACCCUGAUCCAGCCAUGCCGCGUGUGUGAAGAAGGCCCUCGGGUUGUAAAGCACUUUCAGUGAGGAAGAACGCCUGGUGGUUAAUACCCAUCAGGAAAGACAUCACUCACAGAAGAAGCACCGGCUAACUCCGUGCCAGCAGCCGCGGUAAUACGGAGGGUGCGAGCGUUAAUCGGAAUUACUGGGCGUAAAGCGCGCGUAGGUGGCUUGAUAAGCCGGUUGUGAAAGCCCCGGGCUCAACCUGGGAACGGCAUCCGGAACUGUCAAGCUAGAGUGCAGGAGAGGAAGGUAGAAUUCCCGGUGUAGCGGUGAAAUGCGUAGAGAUCGGGAGGAAUACCAGUGGCGAAGGCGGCCUUCUGGACUGACACUGCCACUGAGGUGCGAAAGCGUGGGUAGCAAACAGGCUUAGAUACCCGAGUAGUC